RNAcentral lists this ribosomal RNA (402 nucleotides) under uncultured bacterium. RNAcentral's name for it is "bacterial SSU rRNA". It matches the Rfam family "Bacterial small subunit ribosomal RNA", at positions 355 to 774 of the family's 1533-position model. The record is from RNAcentral.
UGGGGAAUCUUGCACAAUGGGGGCAACCCUGAUGCAGCGACGCCGCGUGAGCGAUGAAGCCCUUCGGGGCGUAAAGCUCUUUCGACCGGAACGAUAAUGACGGUACCGGGAGGAGAAGCUGCGGCUAACUACGUGCCAGCAGCCGCGGUAAUACGUAGGCAGCAAGCGUUGUUCGGAGUUACUGGGCGUAAAGAGUGCGUAGGCGGUUUUCUAAGUUCGGUGUGAAAUCUCCCGGCUUAACUGGGAGGGUGCGCCGAAGACUGGGAAGCUGGAGUGUGGGAAAGGCAGGCGGAAUGCCGGGUGUAGCGGUGAGAUGCGUAGAUAUCAGGAGGAACACCUGCGGUGUAGACGGCUUGCUAGACCAUAACUGACGCUGAGGCACGAAAGCGUGGGUAGCAAACA